Phrynosoma platyrhinos (Desert horned lizard) is the source of this 71-nucleotide non-coding RNA. The record is from the annotation of a GenBank genome assembly. NCBI's taxonomy places the organism in Eukaryota, Metazoa, Chordata, Lepidosauria, Squamata, Phrynosomatidae.
GCCAGUGUGGCAUAAUGGUUUGAGCGUUAGACUAUGAUUCUGAGACCAGGGUUCGAAUCCUAGCUCAACCA